GACGGGGGGGGCAAGCGUGUUCGGAAUUAUUGGGCGUAAAGAGCUCGUAGGCGGUCUGUCGCGUCGGUCGUGAAAACUUGGGGCUUGACCCUGAGCUUGCGGUCGAUACGGGGCAGGCUAGAGUUCGGUAGGGGAGACUGGAAUUCCUGGUGUAGCGGUGGAAAUGCGCAGAUAUCAGGAGGAACACCGGUGGCGAAGGCGGGUCUCUGGGGCCAACUACUGACGCUGGAGAAGCGGAAAAGCAUGGGGGAGCGAAACAGGG
This 262-nucleotide ribosomal RNA is filed under the name uncultured bacterium. RNAcentral describes it as "partial 16S ribosomal RNA". It matches the Rfam family "Bacterial small subunit ribosomal RNA", at positions 524 to 777 of the family's 1533-position model. The record is from RNAcentral.